This 436-nucleotide long non-coding RNA is filed under the name Mytilus galloprovincialis (Mediterranean mussel). The record is from RNAcentral. Lineage: Eukaryota; Metazoa; Mollusca; Bivalvia; Mytilida; Mytilidae.
GUGCACUUUUAUUUUAUUCACUUUCAUCACACAUCUUGUUUAUUUAUUUCAAUAUGUACUAAGACUUGUUGAGUCUGGUCAAGCACAUUAUGUUUCUGUAGUCAAAAGUGAAAUUACAUAACUAUAAUUAAAUAAACCAUUCUUUUCUAUAAAGAUUUUAUUUUUAUUUUUACAUAACACAAAACAAUUAAAAGUUCUCAAUACUUCAUCAGUAUUCUAUAAAAUAUAAAUAAGACUGUUCUGUAGCAUUGCCGCCGCCAUAUUUCUUUACCCAUCUUUCUACAAAUUCUCUCUUUCUUAUAUCACGUCUGGCAAAAUAAUCUGGUAAAGUCCUUCUCCCUUGGUGCCACAUGAUCCAAUAACUAAAAGAAAAAGUAUAUAAUCAUUCAAUCAUUUAAUAGAAGACUUUCUAAUUCAUAGCUUAAAACUGAUUUUU